Long non-coding RNA from Hevea brasiliensis (rubber tree), 992 nucleotides. RefSeq lists it as uncharacterized. The record is from RefSeq and is a predicted model, not a curated record. Lineage: Eukaryota; Viridiplantae; Streptophyta; Magnoliopsida; Malpighiales; Euphorbiaceae. The transcript has 2 exons.
UGCAGGACCCCUCUUGGCUUAUGCAGAAAAAUUUUUCAGCAAAAAGGGUCUGCAGCAUAUGUUAUUUGCUUCUUUGUUGAGGUUGGGCAUGUAUCUUUUAUAUAUCUGUGCCUAUCAUGUUGAUGUGAUGGUAAAAUGGUAUUUUUGAGGGACUAAAAAGAAAUUAUGCUAGUGAGGAGUGAUUCCUAUAGCCAAAGAUGUCAAAAACAAAGCUUGAAAGUUGAAGAAUGCAAAGUGGCCAAAAUGUGCAUAACUUGCCGCAUAAGCUAUACAGUUCUACACAGGGAGAAGAAGCAAUUUUCCAAGCCCGCCGAAAUCUGUAUAAGUCACUGCAUGACUUAUGCAGACUUACUCCUUGCUUAUGCAGCUUCACACAGAGAGCCCAAAACCUGCCGAAAACUGCAUAAGGGCCUGCAUAAUUUGUACAGUCCACUUAUGCAGUUUUAUAAAGUCUCCAAAGCUUAAAAAAACUGCACAACCAACCUACAUAGCUUAUGCAACAUCACGAAAAACACCUGGAACCACCAAUUUUGCAUGGAAUCUGCAUAAGAAACUUGCAUAACAUGUGCAACUCUUCAUAAUGAGCUGGCAGAAGAUUCCCUCACGUGAACUUCACCUCAAACACACCAUUUUAGGGCUAGUUGUCAAAAAAAGACAUAAAUAAGUCCUUAUCCCAUUUCAAAAAAAGGAGGAAAGAAGAAGAAAGUGGGGAGAGACAGAGAAAACGUUAGAAAACAGAGCAAGGGGGCACCACUUCCCUUUUUUGGAUCAGAUUUGGCUUCUUCUUCUUUUCUUCCCUAUUUCACACUUUUCUUGUAUUGGGUUUCUUAGUUCUUAGCAUAGACUCAAGUUUUAUUUCCAUAUUAACUCAUAAUUUCUUGUAAAUAUUAUGGAUAGUGAGUAGUUUUCAUUAGAUUCUGGAGUUAGGAUGUAAUAUUUGAGAUAUUUUGUGAAUUUUGAUUAGGUAAUCUAUAUUUUGUAGUUUUAAUGAA